This 426-nucleotide ribosomal RNA is filed under the name Triticum aestivum (bread wheat). Its description in RNAcentral is "partial small subunit ribosomal RNA". The record is from RNAcentral. Lineage: Eukaryota; Viridiplantae; Streptophyta; Magnoliopsida; Poales; Poaceae.
AUGGCGGCCGCAGGUGAGGUGCUUGCCCUCUCGGUGAUGGCGGCCGCUUCAUUCUUCUUGGGCGUCGCGGCUGCUGCACAGACGGCGGUAGGGCAUGGCGGCGGUCACACAGGCUACGCGGCGCGCCAUGGCCAGGACCAGCAGCGGCCGGCAAGGAGCUCCGCCUGGACCCCAGCCCGUCGCCCGCCUGGGCCCACCUCGAGCCCGCGCAAGGAAGAGGAAAGAGAUAGAGGCCCCGCGGCAGUGAGCUCGCGGCGGCUGCAGGCGCGGCUCGCCGGCCGGACGAGAGGCGGCGUCGAGAGGAACGCUCCAGUGGCUGCUGUGUUCUGGAGCGGGGACCCGAUUGCUUUUUGGAAAAAGAUGCAGGGACUUGAUUGCUUUUUAAAAAAAAUCCAGGGACCUGAUUGCUUUUCAGAAAUACACUGA